This 490-nucleotide ribosomal RNA is filed under the name uncultured bacterium. Its description in RNAcentral is "partial 16S ribosomal RNA". It matches the Rfam family "Bacterial small subunit ribosomal RNA", at positions 28 to 507 of the family's 1533-position model. The record is from RNAcentral.
GAUGAACGCUAGCGGCAGGCCUAAUACAUGCAAGUCGAACGGGAUCCAGAUCAAAGCUUGCUUUGGUCUGGUGAGAGUGGCGCACGGGUGCGUAACGCGUGAGCAACCUACCCUUGUCAGGGGGAUAGCCCGGCGAAAGUCGGAUUAAUACCGCAUGACAUCAUUGAGAGGCAUCUUUCGAUGAUCAAAGAUUUAUCGGACAAGGAUGGGCUCGCGUGACAUUAGCUAGUUGGUAAGGUAACGGCUUACCAAGGCUGCGAUGUCGAGGGGCUCUGAGAGGAGAAUCCCCCACACUGGUACUGGGACACGGACCAGGCACCUACGGGAGGCAGCAGUAAGGAAGAUUGGUCAAUGGACGGAAGUCUGAACCAGCCAUGCCGCGUGCAGGAGGACUGCCCUAUGGGUUGUAAACUGCUUUUGUACGGGAACAAACGUCGGUACGUGUACCGGUCUGAGUGUACCGUAAGAAUAAGGAUCGGCUAACUCCGUG